AAAAAAAAAAAAAAAAAAAAAAAAAAAAAAAAAAACAUAUUCUUUGCAGCACCAAACCCAAGAGAGUGUUUGUCUUUAUUUUAAAUGAAAGCAUUCCAACAACAACUCAGCACACAACAGUUUCUGCUCAAUCUACAGCACAUACUAAGUGCUCUCUGCCUGCCUGCACCACGUAUUUUGUUCUGGACACAGGCCCUGCUCUUGCUCACUUACCACACAUUUGCCAGGGCCCUCCCUGCAGACACAGACUGCCACCUUUGUAGCCUCUUUAUCCUACCCCCCUGCACAGACCCCUCGGUGGUGGCUGCCUGUCUAAUCAAGAAUGCUGGUGUGAGUGAGCAUGCAUGCACAUAUAUUUAAUAAUAUGGGUAUGUAUGUCACAGAUCACAAACUUUCAGUAACAGCAAAGGCGUUAUGGGUGAGCUUCCUGCUGCUCCUUAGAAAAGAACAAGAAUUAUUUGCAUCAGCAAUGAGCCCAGCAUCAUGGAACAGAAACCUUACCCAAGGCUUCCCAGGUACGGAAGCCUUAAAAAUGGAGGCUUGAGCAAAUACCAAACCUGCAUCUGUCCUUGCUGGUUGCUUCUAAAAAGAGCUUGCAGCUGCCAGAGGCUGUGUAACCUCGGGAGUGAUGAGAGCAGUACCGGCUACCUGAUAGAAGAUGACACUGAACACGGCCCCUAUAUUGUAUCUUCUAGAGUCAUCACUCAUCACUGCUUCUUCACCUACAGACCUUUGCUGAGCGUUGGAGAUUCCGGUCCUAUUUUCCAUUUUUGCAUGGCCCCAGCAGAGGCACUCUUUAGACAUGUCACAGCACCACCUUCACCAAACGGGCAGGAAAAGCACCGCAUUCACCAACAGAACACCAGCUCAUCCUAAAACUGCACCUACCGCACUAUCAAAGCCACGCACAGCUCCUGUGGCUCCAGCACUGCGGACAAGCAUCAAAUACAGCCCUGGUGUGCUAAGUCGUUCCUUACCUCCACACACCCUACGUGUGGCUGGGUAAGAGGAACAGUGAGAGGUGAAAACCAUCCAGAAAAUUGCAGCUUCUACUUAUCUGCUUUUUCUCAACAGAUAAAAGGCUCAGAUCCAAGUUACCUGCCUCAGCAGAGGACCUGAAGUCCUGCCGGACCUACCUGUGUCCAGGACGCAUGCACUGCUCAUCUUGCUUGAUAGGACCUGGGAGAAAGAGCAAAAUAACAGGAGAUUCUGCACGUUUCUUCUAUGAAAGAACUGAGAAGUGAGCGAUCAAAUCCAAACCAGAGACUA
Long non-coding RNA from Oxyura jamaicensis (ruddy duck), 1269 nucleotides. RefSeq lists it as uncharacterized. The transcript has 3 exons. Lineage: Eukaryota; Metazoa; Chordata; Aves; Anseriformes; Anatidae. The record is from RefSeq and is a predicted model, not a curated record.